RNAcentral lists this transfer RNA (73 nucleotides) under bacterium (Candidatus Gribaldobacteria) CG10_big_fil_rev_8_21_14_0_10_37_46. RNAcentral's name for it is "tRNA-Glu". It matches the Rfam family "tRNA". Rfam says of the family: Transfer RNA (tRNA) molecules are approximately 80 nucleotides in length. Their secondary structure includes four short double-helical elements and three loops (D, anti-codon, and T loops). Lineage: Bacteria; Candidatus Gribaldobacteria. The record is from RNAcentral.
GGCCCUGUCGUCUAGUGGUUUAGGACAUUACCCUUUCAAGGUGGAAACACGAGUUCGAUUCUCGUCAGGGCCA